Molecule: transfer RNA, 71 nt
Filed under: Loxodonta africana (African savanna elephant)
Lineage: Eukaryota; Metazoa; Chordata; Mammalia; Proboscidea; Elephantidae
Rfam family: tRNA
About the family: Transfer RNA (tRNA) molecules are approximately 80 nucleotides in length. Their secondary structure includes four short double-helical elements and three loops (D, anti-codon, and T loops). Further hydrogen bonds mediate the characteristic L-shaped molecular structure. tRNAs have two regions of fundamental functional importance: the anti-codon, which is responsible for specific mRNA codon recognition, and the 3' end, to which the tRNAs corresponding amino acid is attached (by aminoacyl-tRNA synthetases). tRNAs cope with the degeneracy of the genetic code in two manners: having more than one tRNA (with a specific anti-codon) for a particular amino acid; and 'wobble' base-pairing, i.e. permitting non-standard base-pairing at the 3rd anti-codon position.
Source: Rfam by way of RNAcentral
GCAUUGGUGGUUCAGUGGUGGAAUUCUCACCUUGCAUGAGGGAGACCUGGGUUCAGUUCCUGGCCAAUGCG